RNAcentral lists this ribosomal RNA (253 nucleotides) under uncultured bacterium. RNAcentral's name for it is "partial 16S ribosomal RNA". It matches the Rfam family "Bacterial small subunit ribosomal RNA", at positions 524 to 776 of the family's 1533-position model. The record is from RNAcentral.
UACGGAGGGGGCUAGCGUUAUUCGGAAUUACUGGGCGUAAAGCGCACGUAGGCGGCUUUGUAAGUUAGAGGUGAAAGCCCAGGGCUUAACCCUGGAAUUGCCUUUAAGACUGCAUCGCUAGAAUCGUGGAGAGGUGAGUGGAAUUCCGAGUGUAGAGGUGAAAUUCGUAGAUAUUCGGAAGAACACCAGUGGCGAAGGCGACGCACUGGACACGUAUUGACGCUGAGGUGCGAAAGCGUGGGGAGCAAACAGG